RNAcentral lists this ribosomal RNA (288 nucleotides) under Klebsiella pneumoniae. Its description in RNAcentral is "partial 23S ribosomal RNA". It matches the Rfam family "Bacterial large subunit ribosomal RNA", at positions 1347 to 1637 of the family's 2925-position model. The record is from RNAcentral. Lineage: Bacteria; Pseudomonadati; Pseudomonadota; Gammaproteobacteria; Enterobacterales; Enterobacteriaceae.
AAGGGUUCCUGUCCAACGUUAAUCGGGGCAGGGUGAGUCGACCCCUAAGGCGAGGCCGAAAGGCGUAGUCGAUGGGAAACAGGUUAAUAUUCCUGUACUUGGUGUUACUGCGAAGGGGGGACGGAGAAGGCUAUGUUAGCCGGGCGACGGUUGUCCCGGUUUAAGCAUGUAGGCUGAUUGUCCAGGCAAAUCCGGAUAAUCAAGGCUGAGGUGUGAUGACGAGGCACUACGGUGCUGAAGUAACAAAUGCCCUGCUUCCAGGAAAAGCCUCUAAGCAUCAGGUAACAU